RNAcentral lists this ribosomal RNA (712 nucleotides) under uncultured bacterium. Its description in RNAcentral is "bacterial SSU rRNA". It matches the Rfam family "Bacterial small subunit ribosomal RNA", at positions 28 to 739 of the family's 1533-position model. The record is from RNAcentral.
AUUGAACGCUGGCGGCAUGCCUUACACAUGCAAGUCGAACGGCAGCGCGGGGCAACCUGGCGGCGAGUGGCGAACGGGUGAGUAAUAUAUCGGAACGUACCCUGGAGUGGGGGAUAACGUAGCGAAAGUUACGCUAAUACCGCAUACGAUCUAAGGAUGAAAGUGGGGGAUCGCCAGACCUCAUGCUCCUGGAGCGGCCGAUAUCUGAUUAGCUAGUUGGUGGGGUAAAGGCCUACCAAGGCAUCGAUCAGUAGCUGGUCUGAGAGGACGACCAGCCACACUGGAACUGAGACACGGUCCAGACUCCUACGGGAGGCAGCAGUGGGGAAUUUUGGACAAUGGGCGAAAGCCUGAUCCAGCAAUGCCGCGUGAGUGAAGAAGGCCUCGGGUUGUAAAGCUCUUUUGUCAGGGAAGAAACGGUGGAGGCUAAUAUCCUCUGCUAAUGACGGUACCUGAAGAAUAAGCACCGGCUAACUACGUGCCAGCAGCCGCGGUAAUACGUAGGGUGCAAGCGUUAAUCGGAAUUACUGGGCGUAAAGCGUGCGCAGGCGGUUUUGUAAGUCUGUCGUGAAAUCCCCGGGCUCAACCUGGGAAUUGCGAUGGAGACUGCAAGGCUAGAAUCUGGCAGAGGGGGGUAGAAUUCCACGUGUAGCAGUGAAAUGCGUAGAGAUGUGGAGGAACACCGAUGCGAAGGCAGCCUCCUGGGUCAAGA